Molecule: long non-coding RNA, 648 nt
Organism: Catharus ustulatus (Swainson's thrush)
Lineage: Eukaryota; Metazoa; Chordata; Aves; Passeriformes; Turdidae
Exons: 3
Source: RefSeq, a predicted model, not a curated record
ACCUUUCCCUUUCCUUUCUCCUUUCCCGAAGCUUCCCAGCCAGGGAAUCUCGGGAACACGCUGGGCCCAGCUGCCACCACGGGCAAGGCUGGGGUUGUUGGUCCUCCCCUGGUGCUGUGGGGAACAAUUCCCCCGUUUGGGAUGGGAUGAAACCCCCCAGGGCUGUCACUGGGAGCCACGGCCAGCGGGAGUGUGCGGUUCCAGCGGUGCCACCAUCGGUGACCCCGUCGGUGACACCGUGGGAGCGCGGCGGCGCCGGCCCUGACAGCUUUAAUGCCGAUAUUUAUCUCAGCUCCGAACCUCCGAGCGCGGUUCCAUAUUCAGGAGCUCAAUCACCGGGAUCGGGAAUGGCCGUGACGGCUCCGCCGAUGGCAGCUGGGCCCGGGCUCAAUCAACAUCGGCUGAACGGCCCCGGAGAGCUCCGGGGUAAAUGACAGAAAAUCCCAGGACAGCCAUCAGCCUCCGAGGGAGAUGCUGAGAUAUUACAGGAUGGGGUGACAGAGCGGGAUGAGAUGGGAUGCACGAGGAGAGAGGCGCGGAGAUAAAUGGGGACCCCCGGAGCUGUUAUUUCAGCCUGAUUGCGGAUCCGGAAGCGGAGCCGAGCCCGAUCCCGCAGGCUGUGGGGAGGCUUUAAUGCACAGAAGAAAA